GCAGUCGUGGCUGAGUGGUUAGGCGAACACAUCUAUAAUGUGAUACAUGGGUUCGAAUCCCACCGACCGCC
This is a non-coding RNA of Nephila pilipes (giant wood spider), 71 nucleotides long. The record is from the annotation of a GenBank genome assembly. Lineage: Eukaryota; Metazoa; Arthropoda; Arachnida; Araneae; Nephilidae.